Molecule: long non-coding RNA, 1721 nt
Organism: Canis lupus familiaris (dog)
Lineage: Eukaryota; Metazoa; Chordata; Mammalia; Carnivora; Canidae
Exons: 2
Source: RefSeq, a predicted model, not a curated record
AGCGGCCCGAGCGCCCCGGGCUCGCCUUCCCCGCGCCCCGCGUGCCUCGGCCUGGCUGGCUGAGGGAGCAUCCGCUCUCCACUCGUUUCCACUCACCCACGAAAAAGGGAAAACCGAAUAAAACUUGUCGAGAAAGUGGGCUUUGAAAGUGUUGAUGCCUUAGUUCGCUGGGGCCUUAACCGCGUGCCCUGCCCUGCGCUGGCAUCACUACAGAGGACCCCGGAGGUUUGGAAAAAGCUCAGAAUUGCACAGGGAAGAACGGAAUGUAAAGUCUCGACGACUCAGGCUCGGAGCCGGCUGCCGUUGCUCCCGCGACUCCAUUGUGUCCUUCCUGGACGGCGCUUUUGAGGGUCCGGAAGGCAAGUGCACGACUCCAAAAGGCGCCAGGGUUUCGGGGCUUGUGUUUUGGUUGCCCUCCCUGCACCUUGCUGUCUGCUGCGCGGUGACCUCCCGAAGACCAGGGGUCACGGCCGUUUCUGGAUCCCCAAGAUGCAGGCUCUCAGGUGGCUGGUAAAGACCAUGUGAUGGAUCAUCUACACUGCAAGAGCCAAUGAUCUCUGGGUAAAGGCUGGAGUAAAAUGAAUACCCUUGAAUUCCUAAGCAUCUAUUUUGGGCGCUUACUUACCGGUUUUUGGCGGCGUCCAAGAUUGAUGAUGCAUUGUUACUGACGCUGGACAACUGGGGGAGUGUGCCCGAGUACGACAGAGGAUGUCAACUCUGCCCUCCCUGCUGUAGUCCUUUCUCUCUCUGGGCCUCCCGUUUCUUCAUCUGUAAAAGAAGUCGACCCUGGGAGAUGUUCUCUCAAGGCCUCUAAAGUGCCUCUCUCUCUGUCUCUCAUGAAUAAAUAAAUAGAAUCGUUAAAAGAAAAAGACCUCUAAAAUGCUAGAAGCCCACCACUGUAUCAACCUUUAAAAUUAAAUUUUGGGUUCACUAUCCCUCCAGUUGCAUUUGGUAAACGCGAUGAUUACUGUUUCGUUCAACAAACAGCUCACGGUGAACUGCUAGAAAUUGUUAGGCAUUCUGAAAGGAUGAAAUAUGAACACCCCCUCUCCUGUCCAGGAUGCAGAUUCCAACAAUUGUGGGUUUUGAAUACUCUGCUCUUUCUGCCUUUAAAAAGGAGGUACAGGAUUUCUGCUGAUGAAAAAUUGGAUGUCAUUGCUAAUUAAAAGAAAUAUUUGGAAUCUGGAGAGACCGAGGAAGACUGGAAAAGGUUUUGAGAGGCCAAACAUUACUGCCCAGAGUCAAAGAAAGUGUGAAAGUACAGCCACUGUCACCGCCAGGAGGUGUCCCAGGAGGGGCACUGUUGAAAUGUGCCCGAGCCCUAAUGAACUAACUCUUCGCAGCUCCCAAGAGAGGACCAUCUAGUUGAAUCAGAUUCCUGCCUUUACUAGACAAAUAAUCAUGGGGUAUGAUUCUCAGCAUGAUUAAGUAUUUUAGUUUAGUUAUUUUUUUCCCAAGCACAAACACACAACUCCUCAAAGCUAUCAAAGAACAUUGAACACAAGAAGUAUCUGAGAAAUCAUCCCAGGCAAGAGACAUGGCAACUAAAGGUAAUGUGGUAUUCUGAGUGGGAUCCUAGAACAGAAAAAGAGUAUUACCUGAAAACUAAGGAAAUGUGAAUAAAGUGUAGACUUUUGUUAAUAAUAAUUAUCAGGGUUGGUUCAUUAAUUAUAAUUUUAUAUAUAUAUAUAUAUAUAUAUAUAUAUAUAUAUAUAUAUAUA